UACCAGCACCCCGAGUGGUCGGGACGAUUAUUGGGCCUAAAGCAUCCGUAGCCGGUUUUACAAGUCCUCCGUUAAAUCCAGCUGCUUAACAGAUGGGCUGCGGAGGAUACUAUAAGACUAGGAGGCAGGAGAGGCAAGCGGUACUCAGUGGGUAGGGGUAAAAUGCGCAGAUAUCAGGAGGAACACCGGUGGCGAAGGCGGAUCUCUGGGCCUUACCUGACGCUCAGGCACGAAAGCUAGGGGAGCGAACAGG
RNAcentral lists this ribosomal RNA (253 nucleotides) under uncultured bacterium. RNAcentral's name for it is "partial 16S ribosomal RNA". The stretch from base 27 to 253 matches the Rfam family "Bacterial small subunit ribosomal RNA", at positions 550 to 776 of the family's 1533-position model. The record is from RNAcentral.